This 484-nucleotide ribosomal RNA is filed under the name uncultured Latescibacterota bacterium. RNAcentral describes it as "bacterial SSU rRNA". It matches the Rfam family "Bacterial small subunit ribosomal RNA", at positions 903 to 1382 of the family's 1533-position model. Lineage: Bacteria; Pseudomonadati; Candidatus Latescibacterota. The record is from RNAcentral.
CGUUAAAAGGAAGUUGACGGGGCCGCACAAGCGGUGGAGCAUGUGGUUAAUUCGAUGAUACGCGAAGAACCUUACCGGGGUUUGACAUGCAGGUGAUCGCCGUUGAAGACGGUUUCCUCUUCGGAGGCACCUGCACAGGUGCUGCAUGGCUGUCGUCAGCUCGUGUCGUGAGAUGUUGGGUUAAGUCCCGCAACGAGCGCAACCCUUAUCCCUAGUUGCCAUCAGGUAAAGCUGGGAACUCUGGGGAGACUGCCGGUGAUAAACCGGAGGAAGGCGGGGAUGACGUCAAGUCCUCAUGGCCCUUACAUCCCGGGCUACACACGUGCUACAAUGGCAGGUACAGAGGGCUGCGAAGCCGCGAGGUGGAGCGAAUCCCAGAAAACCUGUCUCAGUCCGGAUUGAAGUCUGCAACUCGACUUCAUGAAGGCGGAAUCGCUAGUAACCGCGAAUCAGCAGGUCGCGGUCGAAUACGUUCCCGGGCCUU